Molecule: ribosomal RNA, 497 nt
Filed under: uncultured bacterium
Lineage: Bacteria
Description: partial 16S ribosomal RNA
Rfam family: Bacterial small subunit ribosomal RNA
Source: RNAcentral
GAUGAACGCUGGCGGCGUGCCUAAUACAUGCAAGUCGAGCGAACAGACGAGGAGCUUGCUCCUCUGACGUUAGCGGCGGACGGGUGAGUAACACGUGGAUAACCUACCUAUAAGACUGGGAUAACUUCGGGAAACCGGAGCUAAUACCGGAUAAUAUAUUGAACCGCAUGGUUCAAAAGUGAAAGACGGUUUUGCUGUCACUUAUAGAUGGAUCCGCGCUGCAUUAGCUAGUUGGUAAGGUAACGGCUUACCAAGGCAACGAUGCGUAGCCGACCUGAGAGGGUGAUCGGCCACACUGGAACUGAGACACGGUCCAGACUCCUACGGGAGGCAGCAGUAGGGAAUCUUCCGCAAUGGGCGAAAGCCUGACGGAGCAACGCCGCGUGAGUGAUGAAGGUCUUCGGAUCGUAAAACUCUGUUAUUAGGGAAGAAAAAAUGUGUAAGUAACUAUGCACGUCUUGACGGUACCUAAUCAGAAAGCCACGGCUAACUACGUG